This 484-nucleotide ribosomal RNA is filed under the name uncultured bacterium. Its description in RNAcentral is "partial 16S ribosomal RNA". It matches the Rfam family "Bacterial small subunit ribosomal RNA", at positions 30 to 507 of the family's 1533-position model. The record is from RNAcentral.
AUUGAACGCUGGCGGCAGGCCUAACACAUGCAAGUCGAGCGGAUGAAGGGAGCUUGCUUCUGGAACGAGCGGCGGACGGGUGAGUAAUGGCUAGGAAUCUGCCUGGAAGUGGGGGAUAACGUCCGGAAAAGGGCGCUAAUACAGCAUACGUACUGAGGGAGAAAGUGGGGGAUCGUCGGACCCCACGCUAUCAGAUGAGCAUAGGUUGGAUUAGCAAGUCGGUGGGGUAAAGAUCUACCAAGGCGAGGAUCCGUAACUUGUCAGAGAGGAGGAGCAUCCCUACUGGAACUGGAUGACGGUCCAGACUGCUACUGGGGGCAGGAGUGGGGAAUAUUGGACGAUGGGCGAGAGCCUGAUCCAGCCAUGCCGCGUGGGUGAAGAAGGUCUUCGGAUUGUAAAGCACUUUAAGUUGGGAGGAAGAGCAGUAAGUUAAUACCUUGCUGUUUUGACGUUACCAACAGAAUAAGCACCGGCUAACUUCGUG